AUUAAGUUGAGUUUGAUGAUGGCUCUGAAUGAACGCUAUUCAAAUGCCUGACACAUGCUAAUCGUACGUUUGUAGUUCAACAAUUGUUAACUACAAAAGUGGUGUACAGGUGAGUAAAUGGUGAAUUGGUUACCUUAAAGUGAGGGAUAAAAUACCUUAUAACAAAAGGAGUAAUCUGCUUUAAGAUAUUAGUUGUAUCUCGGGUAGGUAGUAGGAGAGGUAAUUGCUCAACUAGCCUAAUAUCCCGUAGUCGAGGCUGAAAGGUCGAUCGACCACAUUGGAUAUGAACAAAAUUCAAUGCAUGAUAGUACAGCAGUGAGGGAUAUUGGUCAAUAGCCGAAAGGCUGAACCAGCAAUUUGAAAGAAUGGCCUUACUAGUUAUAACUAGUUUGAGGGGGGAUAGAUUAUAUGUAAUUAAUUAUGUAUAAAGGGGUCCAAGCCUUAGGCCAAAAGCCUAGGAUUAAAGUUCUGAAUAGAAUAAUGAUAAUGACAAUUUUCUAAUUCAAGUGUCUUGACAAAUUCAUGUGCCAGCAGUCGCGGUAAUACAUGAUAGACUAGUGUUAUUCAUCUUUAAUGGGUUUAAAGGGUACCUAGACGGAAGUUCAAGCCUGCGAGGGGACUGAAUUUCUAGAGUUUUAUGUGAGAAGGGGAGUACUACUGAUGGAGAGAUGAAAUUUGAUGAUAUCUUUAGGACUGGUAAAGGCGAAGGCAACCUUUUAAGUAAAAACUGACGUUGAGGGACGAAGGCUUAGGUCACGAACAGGAUUAGAUACCCUAGUAGUCUUUGCAGAAAACGCUGAAUGCUAUAGGUUAGAAUUAAAAUUUUUGCCUAUAAAUGAAAAUGUAAGCAUUCCACCUCAAGAGUAAUUCGGCAACGUAGAAACUGAAAUCAUUAGACCGUUUCUUGAAACCAGUAGUGAAGUAUGUUAUUUAAUUCGAUGAUCCACGAAAAAUCUUACCAUAACUUGAAUAGCUGGUAAAAUAUAAAAAUUAUAAUUAUUUUAUAAACGAGUUAUUAAACCUGUUCUAAAAAAGAAGGAAUACAGGAUAAUAAAUAACAGAUAAAUUUUAUCAUAUGAAUUUAUUUCAAAUAAGUCAUAUAUACCUAUGCUACAGGUGUUGCACGGCUGUCUUAAGUUAAUGUCGUGAGAUCAUGGUUAGAUCCAACAAUUAGCGUAAGCCCUUAGUUUAUUUAAAAAAAUAUAAAUUAUUAAUAUAUUUAUUAUAAGAAUAUUUAUUAUAAAAAUAUAUUAAGCAAAUAUUUUAAAUGUUUAAAUAUUUAAUAUUUUUAAUAAAUUUAAUAUUAGGAAUAAGAAGAGUAAUAUUUUAAAGAUUUAGGAACAUUACGGAGGAAUGUUUUUAAUAUUUAGGAAUAUUUAGGAAAAGGUAAUAUUUUGAUGUACAAUAUUAAAUUUAAGAAGAAAUAUUUUUAAUGUUUAGUAUUAAAUAUUUGUUUUUAUAAAUAAAUAAAUUAGUUCACUAAGAAAAUGGCGUGUGAUAACCGGGAAUAAGACAAGUCAUCAUGGCCCUUCUAUCGUAAAAAAGUUAAUGUUAUGGGCUCUUAUGUGUUUUAAAAAAACAUUUUUUAAAAGGCCUGAUAUAGUAUCAAACUCCGGGAAAUCCCUAAAGUUUAUGGUGCCAAGCUUAAAAGUAAAAGGAUUAAGUGGCUGAAUUAACUAUUCAGAUAAGGCAAUAAACCAUAAGAUUUAUGAAAAUAAUAUGGGUAACCACGGAUCUAAAACAAUCAGCGAAAGCAAAGUAAUUCUGGACCGUUACUUGAUUGUAAAAGAACAACGGAUAGAUGGUUUAAAAUUUAUUAAUCUGAUAAAUUUAAGGUAUAUCCUAAUGUAUUUUGAAAAAAAUAAUAAAGUUAGAAUUUUUACUAACCAAAUAGAAAAUAGAAAAUCCUAUUAUUCUACUAAUCAAAUUAAAGAUAGAGAAUCUAUUGUUUUACCAAUCAAAAUAGAAAAUAGAAAAUCCUAUUAUUCUACUAAUCAACUAAGAAAUAAAAAAUCCUAUUAUUCUACUAUAACAAAUGGAAUAAAUUUAAACCCUUGAUUUAUUACGGGUUUUUCAGACGCUGAAUGUUCUUUUAUAAUACUUAUUUAUAAAAAUCAGGAUAACAAGUUAAAUUGAAGAGUUCAAGCUAAUUUUUCUAUUCAUGUCCACAUUAAAGAUUUACCAUUAUUGGAAUUAAUACAAAAAACUUUAGGUGUGGGUAAGGUUAGAAAAAAUAGUGAAAGCACAGUUCUUUAUAAAGUUGAUACUAUGGAAGAGUUACAAGUUAUUAUUGAUCAUUUUAAAAACUAUCCUUUAGUAGGUGCUAAGUACUCUGAUUUUUUAUUGUUUGAAGAAUGUUAUUAUUUAAUUAAACAAAAAGAACAUUUAACUCAAGCUGGUCUAGAAAAAAUUUUAUCUUUAAAAUAUUAUUUAAAUAAGGGAUUAUCUGAAGAGUUAAAAAUUGCUUUUCCUAAUAUAGUACCAAUAGAAAGACCUGAAUAUAAAUUUAACGGUAUACCAAAUCCUUUUUGAAUAUCUGGAUUUGUUACUGGUGAUUCAUCAUUUAUUGUUUCUAUAGAAAAAAGUACUAAUAAAGUAGGUAAAAGAGUAAGAUUAAUUUUCGGAACUUGUUUACAUAUUAGGGAUAAAGAUUUGCUGAUAGGUAUGGGAAAUUAUUUAAAUGAUUUUAAUACUAAUUUAAAGACAAAUAAAAAAUUAAUUUCUGUGUAUGAUAAUAAAAAUACUUCAUUACUUCAAAUUAAAAAUAAUUUUGAUAUUGAAAAUAAAAUUAUACCAUUUUUUAUUAAAUAUCCAAUAAUAGGUAUUAAAAGUUUGGAUUUUGAAGAUUUUAAAAAAGUAGCAGUGUUAGUUAAAAAUAAAGAGCAUUUAAAUGAAAAUGGUUUAAAUAAAAUAAUAAAAAUAGUUGAAGGUAUGAAUUUAGAUAGAAAGUGAUAAAUAUUUUUAAUUUGUAAGUGUUAAAUCUAACGAGCAUGAUAGACGUGCCACAUAUGCCUUGACAAAGGGAUGCAAAAAUGUGAGUUUUAGCUAAUCCUACAAAAAAAGGAAAUAAAAAAAAUGGAUUGUAGUCUGAAAUUCGACUACAUGAAAAAGAAAUUACUAGUAAUCGUGUAUCACAAUGGCACGGUGAAUCUUAUCUCAGAUUGGUACUAACCACUCGUCAGGCGCUGAAAAUUGUGAGUGCAAUAAGUUUGGGGGAUUCAAAUAAAAAGUAUAAGCAACUGGGCUUAUGGCAUUUGAGAAUCUUUCUUCGUAUGCACAGCUUUGAUUAGUGUUAAGUUAUUUAGGGAGUGAGGUACCCUAUUAUUAGCUUAAGAAUGGAUCAAAACUGUCAAUAUCCUAAAGCUUUACUAACAAAAUUAUAAGAGAGAGCCUUAUAGUGAAGAAAUAGUUGUAAAGAUAUCAAUCCGUCAUCGCUAUGCGAAGAUGGGCUUCUGAGAAGAAAAUGGACAAGACGGUGCUAACUCGUCAGAGCAGUUUUAAACUGUUCCCGACAAAGCUAACAGACUAAACGUUCCACGUUAGAGGUAAAAGCCCUCGAGUUGUAAACUUAAAAAUGAUAAAAUUUAAGUUGAAGCGAAGCCGAAAGGAAGACGAAGAGAUAGUCGGACCUGAUUUGAAAGAAUCAACCCUUGCAAGAGGGGGAGGAUAUAUUUAUUUUACAAUUUAUGUAUCUAUGGAAAAGGGCGCCUCAAUAAGUAUAUAAAUCUUAAGACUUGACUAUCGCAAUGCGAUGGAGAAGUAAGCCCCUUACUCGCGAAAUAUGGUUCGUGUAGUGGAAGUUGCACGGGAAUGAUUAAUUAU
This 3822-nucleotide ribosomal RNA is filed under the name Arthrobotrys musiformis. RNAcentral describes it as "SSU rRNA". The stretch from base 9 to 857 matches the Rfam family "Bacterial small subunit ribosomal RNA", at positions 9 to 873 of the family's 1533-position model. The record is from RNAcentral. Lineage: Eukaryota; Fungi; Ascomycota; Orbiliomycetes; Orbiliales; Orbiliaceae.